Non-coding RNA from Armillaria nabsnona, 90 nucleotides. The record is from the annotation of a GenBank genome assembly. Lineage: Eukaryota; Fungi; Basidiomycota; Agaricomycetes; Agaricales; Physalacriaceae.
UCUCUGGUAGUAUGUCGGUUAGUACACGCGCCUGUCAUUCCUUUGCAUUUAUGCGCGCGCGAAAGCUGGGUUCGACUCCCAGCCAGAGAG